GCCUAGGUGGUGAAAUUGGUAGACACAAGGGACUUAAAAUCCCUCGGCUGGUGACAGCCGUGCCGGUUCGAUUCCGGCCCUAGGCA
Molecule: transfer RNA, 86 nt
Filed under: Agitococcus lubricus
Lineage: Bacteria; Pseudomonadati; Pseudomonadota; Gammaproteobacteria; Moraxellales; Moraxellaceae
Rfam family: tRNA
About the family: Transfer RNA (tRNA) molecules are approximately 80 nucleotides in length. Their secondary structure includes four short double-helical elements and three loops (D, anti-codon, and T loops).
Source: Rfam by way of RNAcentral